CGGAGGAAAAGAAACCAACAGGGAUUGCCCUAGUAACGGCGAGUGAAGCGGCAACAGCUCAAAUUUGAAAUCUGGCCCUCGUGGUCCGAGUUGUAAUUUGUAGAGGAUGCUUUUGGUGCGGUGCCUUCCGAGUUCCCUGGAACGGGACGCCAUAGAGGGUGAGAGCCCCGUCUGGUUGGACACCAAUCCUCUGUAAAGCUCCUUCGACGAGUCGAGUAGUUUGGGAAUGCUGCUCUAAAUGGGAGGUAAAUGUCUUCUAAAGCUAAAUACCGGCCAGAGACCGAUAGCGCACAAGUAGAGUGAUCGAAAGAUGAAAAGCACUUUGAAAAGAGGGUUAAAUAGUACGUGAAAUUGUUGAAAGGGAAGCGUUUGUGACCAGACUUGGGCUUGGUUAAUCAUCCAGCGUUCUCGCUGGUGCACUUUGCCAGCCCAGGCCAGCAUCAGUUCGCUGCGGGGGAUAAAAGCUUCGGGAACGUGGCUCUUCGGAGUGUUAUAGCCCGCUGCAUAAUACCCUGUGGCGGACUGAGGUUCGCGCAUCUGCAAGGAUGCUGGCGUAAUGGUCAUCAACGACCCGUCUUGAAACACGGACCAAGGAGUCGUCUUCGUAUGCGAGUGUUCGGGUGUCAAACCCCUACGCGUAAUGAAAGUGAACGGAGGUGGGAGCCUCGGCGCACCAUCGACCGAUCCUGAAGUUUACGGAUGGAUUUGAGUAAGAGCAUACGGGGCCGGACCCGAAAGAAGGUGAACUAUGCCUGUAUAGGGUGAAGCCAGAGGAAACUCUGGUGGAGGCUCGCAGCGGUUCUGACGUGCAAAUCGAUCGUCAAAUAUGGGCAUGGGGGCGAAAGACUAAUCGAACCUUCUAGUAGCUGG
This 870-nucleotide ribosomal RNA is filed under the name Thyronectria cucurbitula. RNAcentral describes it as "eukaryotic LSU rRNA". It matches the Rfam family "Eukaryotic large subunit ribosomal RNA", at positions 51 to 954 of the family's 3401-position model. Lineage: Eukaryota; Fungi; Ascomycota; Sordariomycetes; Hypocreales; Nectriaceae. The record is from RNAcentral.